CAGCAGCCGCGGUAAUACAGAGGGUGCAAGCGUUAAUCGGAUUUACUGGGCGUAAAGGGCGCGUAGGCGGCGCGGUAAGUCACUUGUGAAAUCUCUGAGCUUAACUCAGAACGGCCAAGUGAUACUGCUGUGCUAGAGUGCGGUAGAGGCAACCGGAAUUCUUGGUGUAGCGGUGAAAUGCGUAGAUAUCAAGAGGAACACCUGAGGCGAAGGCGGGUUGCUGGGCCGACACUGACGCUGAUGCGCGAAAGCCAGGGGAGCAAACGGGAUUAGAUACCCCUGUAGUCCCUGUCUCUUAUAC
This 301-nucleotide ribosomal RNA is filed under the name uncultured bacterium. Its description in RNAcentral is "partial 16S ribosomal RNA". It matches the Rfam family "Bacterial small subunit ribosomal RNA", at positions 509 to 807 of the family's 1533-position model. The record is from RNAcentral.